This 476-nucleotide ribosomal RNA is filed under the name uncultured bacterium. Its description in RNAcentral is "bacterial SSU rRNA". It matches the Rfam family "Bacterial small subunit ribosomal RNA", at positions 29 to 507 of the family's 1533-position model. The record is from RNAcentral.
AACGAACGCUGGUGGCGUGUUUUAUACAUGCAAGUCGAGCGAGGACGGUAGCAAUACCGAGCCGAGCGGCGAACGGGUGAGUAACGCGUAAGCAAUCUGCCCCACAAUCGGGAACAACCGUGCCAACGCGCGGCUAAUGCCGGAUAUUGUAGUCUACUGCAUAGUAGGCCAACGAAAGAUUUAUUGUUGUGGGAUGAGCUUGCGUCCGAUUAGCUAGUUGGCGGGGUAAUAGCCCACCAAGGCGACGAUCGGUAGCCGGCCUGAGAGGGUGAUCGGCCACAUUGGGACUGAGAUACGGCCCAGACUCCUACGGGAGGCAGCAGUAGGGAAUAUUGCGCAAUGGGGGGAACCCUGACGCAGCAACGCCACGUGUGGGAAGAAGCAUUUCGGUGUGUAAACCACUGUCGGAAAGGAAUAACGGAAGACUUCGGUCUUUAUGAAUGUACUUUUAGAGGUAAGCACCGGCAAACUUCGUG